CGGGGUGGGAGCAUGAUCGCUCCGGCUUUGGCCGGGGAGGAAAGUCCGAACACCGCAGGGCACGGUGGUUCGUAACGCGAACUUCGGGUAACCGAAGGAAAGUGCCACAGAAAAUACACCGCCGAUGGUACGGCUCGUCCGUGCACAGGUAAGGUUGAAAUGGCGAGGUAAGAGCUCACCGCUUGUUCGGUGACGGACAAGGCAGGGUAAACCCCACCGGGUGCAAGACCAAAUAGGGAAGCGUUUGAGGGCUGCCCGUUCAAUGCUUCCGGGUAGGUUGCAAGAGGCGCCGGGUGACCGGCGUCCCAGAUAAAUGAUCAUGAUCCGUUUUGCGGAAACAGAAUUCGGCUUACAUCCCACCCCGUUUU
This 368-nucleotide RNase P RNA is filed under the name Desulfobulbaceae bacterium. RNAcentral describes it as "RNase P RNA component class A". It matches the Rfam family "Bacterial RNase P class A". From Rfam's summary of the family: Ribonuclease P (RNase P) is a ubiquitous endoribonuclease, found in archaea, bacteria and eukarya as well as chloroplasts and mitochondria. Its best characterised activity is the generation of mature 5'-ends of tRNAs by cleaving the 5'-leader elements of precursor-tRNAs. Lineage: Bacteria; Pseudomonadati; Thermodesulfobacteriota; Desulfobulbia; Desulfobulbales; Desulfobulbaceae. The record is from RNAcentral.